AUGAGGAAAGAGGUGGUUAUUGAAACAAGUAUUACCAGUGUGGGCACACAUAAGCUGAUAUUUGGAAGAGGGACCACUCUCACAGUUGAACCAAAUAUCCAAAACAUUUCUGUCCCACAAGUCAUUUUGAUGAAAUCAAAGAAACUGGAUGAAGAUGACAGCACUGGAAAAGCAGCUUGUUUGGCAAGGAAUGUCUAUACAAAGAAAAUCAGCUUGAACAUGUCCUCUAAUGAAGUCGUAUAUGAACCAAGUGCAUCCGUUUUGACAUCAGAGGGGUUGUACAAUACUAUUAAGGUGGUCAGCAUGACAAAAGGCACAGAGUUGACCUGCACAGCCAAAUUCAACGGCAGCACAAUCACAACCAGCACAAGCUUGCCAGAAAAGGAUGCUGAAGACCCAGAAAUGGGGAAGGUUUGCAACACCACAGACACCUCUGCACAAGGUACUAAAGUGGAAAAAGCAAACAUGCUGUCUAUGGCUGUGUUGGGUUUGAGAGUCCUGCUGGCAAAAAGCAUCGCCUUCAACACACUCAUGAGUAUCAAAUUGUUUCUUUUCUGA
Non-coding RNA from Nestor notabilis (Kea), 558 nucleotides. The record is from the annotation of a RefSeq genome assembly. Lineage: Eukaryota; Metazoa; Chordata; Aves; Psittaciformes; Psittacidae.